CCAACAUGGAUAUCCUGUGAGGUCACUCCCUGGACACUGUCCAGGUGGCGCAGAGGAGCACAGGGCUCUAUCCCGUGCUGUAUAAUCCCUUUCCACACCAUUGGAAAUCAAGCCAGGCCUUGAGUCUGAGCCUGCAUAUUCCUGCAGCUUCUCAGAGACCUCUGAACAAUGACUGGGGAGACAAACAAUGCAGGAAACAGUU
This 202-nucleotide small nucleolar RNA is filed under the name Sorex araneus (European shrew). Its description in RNAcentral is "Small nucleolar RNA SNORA73 family (ENSSARG00000016371.1)". It matches the Rfam family "Small nucleolar RNA SNORA73 family". Rfam says of the family: U17 (SNORA73A and SNORA73B) also known as E1 belongs to the H/ACA class of small nucleolar RNAs (snoRNAs). Lineage: Eukaryota; Metazoa; Chordata; Mammalia; Eulipotyphla; Soricidae. The record is from RNAcentral.